GACGAACGCUGGCGGCGUGCUUAACACAUGCAAGUCGAACGGAAAGGCCCUGCUUUUGUGGGGUGCUCGAGUGGCGAACGGGUGAGUAACACGUGAGUAACCUGCCCUUGACUUUGGGAUAACUUCAGGAAACUGGGGCUAAUACCGGAUAGGAGCUCCUGCUGCAUGGUGGGGGUUGGAAAGUUUCGGCGGUUGGGGAUAGACUCGCGGCUUAUCAGCUUGUUGGUGGGGUAGUGGCUUACCAAGGCUUUGACGGGUAGCCGGCCUGAGAGGGUGACCGGCCACAUUGGGACUGAGAUACGGACCAGACUCAUACGGGAGGCAGCAGUGGGGAAUAUUGCACAAUGGGCGGAAGCCUGAUGCAGCAACGCCGCGUGCGGGAUGACGGCCUUCGGGUUGUAAACCGCUUUCGCCUGUGACGAAGCGUGAGUGACGGUAAUGGGUAAAGAAGCACCGGCUAACUACGU
This 467-nucleotide ribosomal RNA is filed under the name uncultured bacterium. RNAcentral's name for it is "partial 16S ribosomal RNA". It matches the Rfam family "Bacterial small subunit ribosomal RNA", at positions 28 to 506 of the family's 1533-position model. The record is from RNAcentral.